RNAcentral lists this ribosomal RNA (482 nucleotides) under uncultured bacterium. RNAcentral describes it as "bacterial SSU rRNA". It matches the Rfam family "Bacterial small subunit ribosomal RNA", at positions 30 to 506 of the family's 1533-position model. The record is from RNAcentral.
AUUGAACGCUGGCGGCAUGCCUAACACAUGCAAGUCGAACGGCAGCACGGGAGCUUGCUCCUGGUGGCGAGUGGCGGACGGGUGAGUAAUGCAUAGGAAUCUGCCCAGUAGCGGGGGACAACUUGGGGAAACUCAAGCUAAUACCGCAUGCGCCCUACGGGGGAAAGCGGGGGACCUUCGGGCCUCGCACUAUUGGAUGAGCCUAUGUCAGAUUAGCUUGUUGGUGGGGUAACGGCCUACCAAGGCGACGAUCCGUAGCUGGUCUGAGAGGACGAUCAGCCACACUGGGACUGAGACACGGCCCAGACUCCUACGGGAGGCAGCAGUGGGGAAUAUUGCACAAUGGGCGAAAGCCUGAUGCAGCAAUGCCGCGUGUGUGAAGAAGGCCUGCGGGUUGUAAAGCACUUUCAGUAGGGAGGAACAGUAGCCGGUAAUAUCGUUGCCUUGACGUUACCUACAGAGGAAGCACCGGCUAACUCUGU